This 1187-nucleotide long non-coding RNA is filed under the name Lathyrus oleraceus (garden pea). Its description in RNAcentral is "Pisum sativum (pea) long non-coding RNA (PSAT_LNC041415)". Lineage: Eukaryota; Viridiplantae; Streptophyta; Magnoliopsida; Fabales; Fabaceae. The record is from RNAcentral.
UUCUUGCAUCACCAAUGAUUAUGAUAGGGUUUUUCAUAUUGUUUUGAUGAGAUUAAGAUGUUUGUUAGGAUUAUGAGGAUCUCACAAUAAUAAAGUUGGUGCUAAUGUAACACUAGAUAAAUGAUUAGGUUGGUUUCCUUUAAUACAUACGGUCUCAUUUUCAUUGUCUUGUAAUUAUUCUUUUUUCUUUUUUUCUUUUUCAUUUUCUUGUAAUUAUUCUUUUUUCUUUUUUUCUUUUUCUUUUUCUAUUUAUAAUUAGUAUUUUAGCAUAUUUUUUAAUCUAUAUAACUUAUGUUAAUCGUUUAAUUAUCAGAAUAUAAAAGAUGACAUUUUAUGUUCUUUAGGUUAUAAGUAUAUAUUUAAUUAAUUUUGAUGUUCAAUAAAUAUCUUUCUAAACUAAUUAAUGUCAAGGUUUGUUACUCAAUAAAUGUUUGAUUGAUUUAUAUAAUUGAGGAUUUACUUAAUAUAAUCAUUUAGCUUACAAUAUUUAAUAGAAAUCUCUAGUUCAUAAUCACUCUAUGAUUGUAUAAACAAAAUACAAAGGGUAAAAAAAUACGUACUGCUGAAAAAUUGUCAUAUUUUCCUUUUUUUUCUAUCUUUUAUGAGUAAUUUUCUUUCUUAUCUAUCAAAUGUACGGAACAAUUGAUUUCUGAUAUAGGUUAAUCUUUUGAAGGUUACACAUCUCUAACUUGUUUAUUUUGUCACUCUAUUCAUCUGUGUUUCCUCUUAUUUUCAAUUUUAUUCUUGCAUCACCAAUGAUUAUGAUAGGGUUUUUCGUAUUGUUUUGAUGAGAUUGAGAUGUUUGUUAGGAUUAUGAGGAUCUCACAAUAAUAAAGUUGGUGCUAAUGUAACACUAGAAAAAUGAUUGGGUUGGUUUCCUUUAAUACAUACGGUCUCAUUUUCAUUGUCUUGUAAUUAUUCUAUUUUCUUUUUUUCUUUUUCAUUUUCUUGUAAUUAUUCUUUUUUCUUUUUUUCUUUUUCAUUUUCUACUUAUAAUUAGUAUUUUAGCAUAUUUUUUAAUCUAUAUAACUUAUGUUAAUCGUUUAAUUAUCAGAAUAUAGAAGAUGACAUUUUAUGUUCUUUAGGAUAUAAGUAUAUAUUUAAUUAAUUUUGAUGUUCAAUACAUAUCUUUCUAAACUAAUUAAUGUCAAGGUUUGUUACUCAUUACAUGUUUGAUUGAUUUAUAU